AGAUUGAACGCUGGCGGCAUGCCUUACACAUGCAAGUCGAACGGUAGAGUAGCAAUACUUGAGAGUGGCGAACGGGUGAGUAAUAUAUCGGAACGUGCCCAGUCGUGGGGGAUAACGUAGAGAAAUUUACGCUAAUACCGCAUACGAUCUAAGGAUGAAAGCGGGGGACCGUAAGGCCUCGCGCGAUUGGAGCGGCUGAUAUCAGAUUAGGUUGUUGGUGAGGUAAAAGCUCACCAAGCCGACGAUCUGUAGCUGGUUUGAGAGAACGACCAGCCACACUGGGACUGAGACACGGCCCAGACUCCUACGGGAGGACAG
This 318-nucleotide ribosomal RNA is filed under the name uncultured soil bacterium. Its description in RNAcentral is "bacterial SSU rRNA". It matches the Rfam family "Bacterial small subunit ribosomal RNA", at positions 26 to 351 of the family's 1533-position model. The record is from RNAcentral.